GACGAACGCUGGCGGCGUGCUUAACACAUGCAAGUCGAACGGAAAGGCCCUGCUUUUGUGGGGUGCUCGAGUGGCGAACGGGUGAGUAACACGUGAGUAACCUGCCCUUGACUUUGGGAUAACUUCAGGAAACUGGGGCUAAUACCGGAUAGGAGCUCCUGCUGCAUGGUGGGGGUUGGAAAGUUUCGGCGGGUGGGGAUGGACUCGCGGCUUAUCAGCUUGUUGGUGGGGUAGUGGCUUACCAAGGCUUGGACGGGUAGCCGGCCUGAGAGGGUGACCGGCCACAUUGGGACUGAGAUACGGCCCAGACUCCUACGGGAGGCAGUAGUGGGGAAUAUUGCACAAUGGGCGCAAGCCUGAUGCAGCAACGCCGCGUGCGUGAUGACGGCCUUCGGGUUGUAAACCGCUUUCGCCUGUGACGAAGCGUGAGUGACGGUACUGGGUAAAGAAGCACCGGCUAACUACGUG
RNAcentral lists this ribosomal RNA (468 nucleotides) under uncultured bacterium. Its description in RNAcentral is "partial 16S ribosomal RNA". It matches the Rfam family "Bacterial small subunit ribosomal RNA", at positions 28 to 507 of the family's 1533-position model. The record is from RNAcentral.